This 253-nucleotide ribosomal RNA is filed under the name uncultured bacterium. RNAcentral describes it as "partial 16S ribosomal RNA". It matches the Rfam family "Bacterial small subunit ribosomal RNA", at positions 524 to 776 of the family's 1533-position model. The record is from RNAcentral.
UACGUAGGGUCCGAGCGUUGUCCGGAAUUAUUGGGCGUAAAGAGCUCGUAGGCGGUUUGUCGCGUCUGCUGUGAAAUCCCGAGGCUCAACCUCGGGUCUGCAGUGGGUACGGGCAGACUGGAGUGCGGUAGGGGAGAAUGGAAUUCCUGGUGUAGCGGUGGAAUGCGCAGAUAUCAGGAGGAACACCAGCGGCGAAGGCGGCGCUCUGGGCCGGAACUGACGCUGAGGAGCGAAAGCGUGGGGAGCAAACAGG